Molecule: ribosomal RNA, 479 nt
Filed under: uncultured bacterium
Lineage: Bacteria
Description: bacterial SSU rRNA
Rfam family: Bacterial small subunit ribosomal RNA
Source: RNAcentral
GAUGAACGCUGGCGGCGUGCUUAACACAUGCAAGUCGAACGAAGCGACUAUGAUUGAGAUUUCGGUUGAUUGAAUAGUUGACUUAGUGGCGGACGGGUGAGUAACGCGUGGGUAACCUGCCUCGUACAGGGGGAUAACAGUUAGAAAUGACUGCUAAUACCGCAUAACCCGCUAGGGUCGCAUGACCCAGACGGAAAAGAUUUAUCGGUACGAGAUGGACCCGCGUCUGAUUAGCUAGUUGGUGAGGUAACGGCCCACCAAGGCGACGAUCAGUAGCCGGCCUGAGAGGGUGAACGGCCACAUUGGGACUGAGACACGGCCCAAACUCCUACGGGAGGCAGCAGUGGGGAAUAUUGCACAAUGGGGGAAACCCUGAUGCAGCAACGCCGCGUGAGUGAAGAAGUAUUUCGGUAUGUAAAGCUCUAUCAGCAGGGAAGAAAAUGACGGUACCUGACUAAGAAGCCCCGGCUAACUACGUG